UUCUUCUGGGAAUUACUUACAGAAGAUGUAUUUUUUCAUCUGUGGCACAAAACCCAUUUUUCCCCUUUAUUUCCGCCCUCUGAGAAAGUCCUUGGAGUAAUAGGUAAAAUGUCAGAAAUAAUUAAGAAAAAUACUGAUAUACACUGUGGCAGAGAAUUAUACCUUUUGAGAUGGUCAUUGCCAUCAUCUGUAAUCAGUCCCCUGACAGAUAUAAAUAUCAGCUUUAUCACCUUGUUUUAGAUGAUGAUGUCUUGAAUCAAUGUUGAUGAAGACUAUAUUUUGGCAACUUCAGUUAAAGGAAAAGAAUAGUUUCAAUUGCGAAGCAGACAACGUAAGUUCAAAGUAGAGCAAGUACCUGACACAGAAUACAGACAUUCCUUUAUAUAAUAUCUAUUUAAUCCUGUUCAUAAAAAAUCUUUCUCAUAUGAGAAAAGGGAGGACAAUAGCACAGUUCUGUCUCAAAAAAAUUCUGACUAAGAGCUUGUUUUUUGCUUGGCGUGGAGACCGUGUAUCCAGUGAGUACCAUGCCCAGGAGCAAUGUCUUUUACUUUCUGGGCUAAGUGGCUAUUUGGAUUAUUAGGUGUUUAUGUCCUUAAGAAAGAACCUUUUUGUCCUGCAUCUUAAAAGAAAAGAUCAUAUUUAUUUUCAGGGGAAAUGUAUCAUGACUAGAUUUAUAGUACCAUGUGCUCAAAGAUCAAAUUGCAUGACUACAAGCAUUUAUAUUUUUAUUUAUAGGAAAUAAUAUAAAGAAGCAAGAAGUUUAUGUGCAGCUAAAGUGUUUGGCAUUUAUCUUUUUCAAAAUGCAUUAGAAAGGCAAAUGGACUUGGAAUGCCAGUUAAAAAGCUAGAAUCACUCACUGUAAUUUAUUACUUUUUACAUUUAGGUAGAUUCGAAGUACAAGUUAUAGUGCCUGCAGUUCAACUGCUCUACUAUAUUUUAUGAAGUACAAGAUAGCAAUUGGUUGCAUAAGGGACUAAAGAUUUGGUACUAAAUCCUCUUCAACUUUUAAAUACUACUUCUGUAUUCUUUGAUUUUUAAAAAAUGCCUCAACAGCUAUGUCUAUAUAGUAAGUGUGUACCUUAACCUGCUUUGGAAUGGAUCUCUAUAUAAAAAGCCAUGUAUCCACAUGCAAAUCUCUGUAGAUCACUCAGCAUUUUCUGGACCUCAGGAAUUCUAGGAUAUUGGGACAGUGCUCAGGGCCAGAAUUCUCAUGGUCUACGUUACACUUAAAAGUUAGCUGGGUCCCAAGUCCUCAACAGGGGCAUGCUUCACAUGAUGGACAAUCCCUCAAGUGUUUAAGUGAGUGUAAACAAACUAAUCUGCUCCCUCAAAUCUUUCAUAUAAAAGCUACAUUCUUCCAGAAACUUUUCUAGAAUUUUUCUGGUAUGUUUUGACCUCUCUUUCUCUACCUUUAAAUUUCUUUUCUCCUUCUCUAUCUAUUCAAAGCAAAACUAUCAAAGGAACAAUUAUCCAAUAAUUAUUAUUAUUAGCAUCACAGAUCCAGCAGGUCUCUGAUGACAAGCAAUAUCUCAGUGUUCAUUUUCAUUACACAUGUAUGAAAAUCCACUGAAGCUGACUUGGGGAAGUCUACACAUUGCUGCCUUCAUAGAAUUCUGUAUUCUGGAAGCAUGGAAAAGUUCUUGAUGCCUGAGAUGUGCAUGGACUCUCAUGGAACAUGAUAUGUGAAUAUAAUCGAAUAUGGGUAUCAAGGAGAUAAAGAGUAUGUUGUCUUUUCAUGUAAAUGUAUCAGCAAAGUCCCCAGAAUUAAUUUAUGGAAGCAGUAAGGAAAACUGACAGAGCAUAGCAAGGCUGGAGACUUUUUCUCGUUGCUCAGCAGACUGUGUUGAGUGGCUGAGCUCAGCAGAGCACCGCACACAGUCAGUUAAAAUUAUUGGCAUCACCUGAAGGUUAUUGUAAUCUCUGGAAGACUGCCUGUCAUGUGGAUAGGUUUCACACACAAUAUGAUGUGUGGUAUGUAGCAAGUUUUGCAUGUUUUCAGUAAGAAUGCAAACCCAAGAGCUGCAGAGCAUAUCUGUGCAGAAAUAGCUAAGGAGUAACAAAAUAUUGCGUCCUGGUGCCCCAAAACCUGGUUCCACUGGAGCUUCUGCGAAUGCCCCUUAUCUUCACCUCACUGCCGGCUCCACACUGCUUUGAAACAAGCUCUGUCCAGCUGACAUUGCAAAGGCUGAGUCUGCCUUUGAAUUUUAGCUUGGAUCAGAUGGGAACUUUUAAAGUAGGUCUUGUGAUCAUCUCCAUCAUUUAUGCUUUUGCUCAUGUUGAGGAACUGUCUCAAGUGCAUGAACUGGAAUUAAUUUUAAAUAAAAGUACACCAGCUAGAUCUGAUAUGCUCAAAAUAGAAAUAGGUACUUGGUCUGUGGGAUUAAACAAAGGAUAGUCCAAAGUGAAAAUAAAUAAAUUAAUUAAAAUUUCUUGUAAGGUAGAUUUCUGGUCCUCACUGUCAACUGUUUUGCUCUGAAAAUCUUCUUCCUCUAGUCUGCACUGUUUGCCAAUGUGGAUGUAGCCUUAAGGUUCAGCUAAGCUUUUUUUUCCAGUGUAAAAAGAUCUUUCUGAUGGCUUCAGAAAUUGUUCAGUGUAUCUGUGGUUCAUGUUCUUAAAGUGUGAAAUGAAGAAGAUAAUACUUAACCAUCUUUAUCAAACAGUACACAGAUGAAAGCCCAAGCAAGUCCAAAGUGUAGUAAUAUUUUAGCUGUUACUACAUCUCCAGGAUCCUCAUACAAUUCUCUUUAAUAUAUAUAUAUUUUUUAAAGUUGCUUAUCUGAACGGUAAAAAUACACCAAAGUUGAUGGCAGUGCACAUAACCAAAUCCUCUUAAUAUAAGCUCUGCUUGGUUUCCCAUAUGAUUUUUAGUGCCUGGUUUAUGGAUCAGUUUCCACUGAAAUACUCCUUAUUUGUGUAUUUAGAAAGGUGAAGGAGAACAGAAGCUUCUCUUGGGGUAGCAGACAGUUGCUAAAUAAAUUUCUACUAAGUAGGUGCACUGUCACCCUAAAUGGGGCAUAAAUAAUGCAUCAAAUUUUAGAAAUAAUGAUCUUAACUCGGGCAGAUUGGUGCUGUGAAUGUUUCGUGAGAAAACAAAACCACAACGUUUUGUCUUUUGUUUCAGCUGUUUUAAUAAUGCUCAAAUUUUUUUCAGUGAGGACUUCAGGUCAAUUGGAUUGUUUCCAUUGAAUUGAGAAAAUAAAUAAAUAAAUAAAUAAAUAUCCAAAUGAAAAUAUAUUUAGGUGGGGUUUUUCCUCUUUUUGAAAAAACAGAGGUACUUAGUACACAACAUAGGAAUUGCUUAAUACACUGGGAUAUCAAUCCAUUUUUGUGGAAUUGCAAGAAAGCAUGAUAAAACACAAUUUGCUAUUACUGUUGUUGGCAGUACUUUGAACUGGUGAAAGAUGCGUUCCUUAUUAUUCAGAGGUAUUUUACUUUCUGUGUUAAUAUAUGACAAAUAUACAACCAGUUCUGUAAGUCCUUGAAAGAUUUGAGAUUCCCUUCAGUAUUUUAAAAUUAGGUUUGAGCCAUCCUAAGUUUCAGCAUGAGUUCUCAUUGGCAGCAUGAUGUUAAUAAAUCAUCAGAGCUGCAUUGAUCAACUGGCUUAUUUAACACUGUACAAACAGCAAGAACUUAAACUGGGCCACAAGCCCCACUCUUUGCCAUUAGGAAAGUUAAUUAUUUCACACUGACAGGUUAUUAAGUUCCCUCUAGCCCCAGAGUUAAUACGAAAAAUAUUUAGAAGAGAUUCUUGGGCAAAGAACAAGUUGGGUCACAUCUGACCCCAGAUGGAGCUGAUCUGUUCCAGGUGAGACCCUCCCUGCUAGCUCUAUUCAGAGCCUCAGCUUCUACACCUGAAAAAUGGGGGAAAUUAUCUUGACCCUCACAAUGUGGUUACAGAUUUACUGGGUCCCAUUCAUUUCAAUCCAUUUUCUACUCCUGUUGUAGGAUAGUAUUUCCCAAGUGUUGUAAUCUUUAAGCAAUUAUCUUAGACUUCAGUCUGACUCGGCUCAUUACAUGUUUCUCUGGUUUCCAUUCCCUGCUCAUCUUUCUUUGAUGUUGCAUUUUUAUACAUUACUUUCCCUACAUGCACUUGUAGGAUUCAGCCUGUAUUGGCCUUAUUAAAACUUUCACCAUCUUCAUAAUGAACCGGCUCUGUUUUCUCAUUUCAUGUAAUGAAAAGAAACCACUGUCAAAUAGCAAACAUUAAUGGCACAAAUUUCUGCAUCUCACUAAACAGAAACACUUAGAUCAUCACCUGAUACAUUUAGUGCAAUUUGAUCUAACACUAUCUUCUUCAAAACACCAGCCUGGUAUCUAAAUUAGGUCUUAGAUUAGAAUUGUCAUCAAGUCUCUUUCCUUUAGGGAAAAACAGAAAUAUUUGGAAAAUAAUUCAGCCUAUAUGAGGCAAAUCAUUAAAUACAAGAUGAAGGUAUGUGAACAUGAAGCAUGAGGAGCAGCUACAGACCCCUGGAUUCCUGACUUCACAUCUUUUUCAGAAGGAACAUCCACAUAUGCCAUAUUCUUCAGCCUGCCAAAAAGGUAAUGCUGAGAAAAUAAGAAAAAGGGACCGAAGAUCAUGACUGCCAUGGAGAUGAACAAGUGUCCACUAUUUUUUCUGAUACCAGAAGUGUGGGGAUUAAAUGAAGGCAACAUGCACAGCCUCAGAGGGGACCAAGAUGGUUCUCCACAGUGCAAGCCUGCAUGCUCUGAGUACUGAUCCUUUAUGGAGCAGGUCAGUAGGCAACUGGAGAAGUUUGUGGAAGAGAAAUUCAUCAAGGCCUGCUAGUGGGAAGUCUCUAAGCUGCAAAUUUUUGGAGGCUGGCAAAGUUUUCUGGGUAAAUAUCACUAAAUGUUUCUUCCUUGCUUGUACUAACUCCCAGUCAUCCCCUUGGUCACUGUUAAGGCCAGCAGGGCUGAACACACAUCUUGCACAAGACAUUGUAAGACCUCUUUUCUGAUAUUCAGUACCUCAGCUGUCUGCAUUUGCUAGGUGGAGGGAAUAUGUGUCUGUUCACAAAGUGUGGUUAUGGGGUCCUUGUGGAGGAAGGGCUGUUCAGACUUACUCAUGGGCCCGCUCUGGCAGCCAAGUUGCACCUAUGCAUUAGCACUGGUUAAAGUUUCUAAUACAGCAUUAAAUUGAAUUUGAAAUGAAUGAGCUGAUAGAAAUGCUAUCUGGAUGGUCACAUUUCAGAUCAGCAAGACUGGAUUUCUUUUCAUUUGAGAGGACUCUGAUCUAAUUUUUCGUCUUGCCACCAGAUUUUUAUUUCUCCCAGUCGUGGAUGUAUUGAGCUACAUCCUGGUAAAACACACAAAUAUUUUCUAACUGCAAACCAUUGUGUUUCAGUGGUCUCAGCUUUUCAGAUUGUUAUCUGCAACUGUUAUUACUAUGCUAUUGUAACCACCACUUUUUUCCAGAUUGAAUGUGCUGCUAUUUGAACUCUGAUCCCAUGGAUAGACUGUGAGCAGUGCCUUUAGUAGGAUGGCAAAUGCUGUGCUGCUAAACCACGGCCAUAAAAUGGGAAUUGUUUCUUUGUAUACAAUGACCACUGAAAAAAGAAAAUAAGCUAUAGUUUUUUACUAAUGGAUGAAUUUUGUGAAUUAAAAUAUUUAACCAUUUUAAAGCAUGGAGUGUGGAUGUGCUAAGUUGUUUGUGGGAUUGAAUUUCUAAUAACUUUUUUAAUUGGAGGUUGAAUUCAAUGGUGCAAAUUGGGAGAUCUUAAUAAGCAUGUAAACCACUAAUCACACCACUAGGCAGAUCUUGAUGUAUCUUCAAUAAUUAAUUCAGGCAGAUAUCCUUAAAUAAUUCAGUGAUUUUUAAUUAAAGAAAAUAGGGUAUUUAGUUGAUUUUUUUAGUCUGGGGAAUAUUUAUCAACAUGAUUCCAUGCCUUUACUUUUCUCUAAUAUUUUUUCUUUCCCUGCUUGUUAUUUUAUGACUUUUGGAUUCUUUCUUAGUUAAAUAUUUUUCUAAGAGCAGAGACUUUGAUUUGUAAAUGUGAAUGUGAUCAAUAAAAACUUAUGGCUUCAAAGUGUCCUUAUUUAUAUUUAAAUCCUUCCUCUCACCUGCUGUUUGCUGCUUUUUAGUUAUGUCACCAUUCCCACUGGAGCUCAAAAAAUUUAGCUGGUCCUCUCUAAACUCCCAGACAUGUUCUUUUCCCAUGUACUCUUCCGUCCCUGCAGCUUCUGAUGUAAAACAGAUUUAAGUUUGCGUAGAGCAGAGGUCAACAUGAAAGCUUAAAACAAAACAAAAAAAAAAAAGCUGGCAUUCAACUUCUAGCUCUGGUUCUUAUUAUAACUCAAAGCUCUAUUUUAGUAAUUUAAAAAUGGUAGUAUUGUUCUACAUCCAUAACCUACCUUUAACCGAGUUUCUUAAUGACUGUGAUGCCCAUUUUAGAUAAACUUCUAGACUGGCUGAUGAGUAUUUGGAUGAACUGCAGGCAGUUGUGCCACAAUGGUAAAACUGACAAUUAUUUUUCAAAAUGAUCUGUGUGAAGUUUACAUUUAUUUUGCUUUAGAUUAUGGCCAAGAGCAAAGCUUUGAACUCAUUUCUCCUAUUCCUGAGUAGUUAUUUGCAAAAUCAUUACUUUGGUGAACCUUUUAUAUGGGUAUUGGGAGCAGUGGCUACAUGAGAUCCCUUCAGUGACAUAUUUCCUAAAAGUUUAUUGCCAAGUGCUUCAAAUAUUUAUUCUUUUUUUUUAAGCAGACCAACUUUUUCUGCUCUGUAUUUUGUACUAUCACAUCCCUUUCUGUAAGGCUCAGUAAAUAAUCGUGAGUUAAGCGUUGAAUGAGGAUUAAAUGCUGCAUGUUACAGCUCAAUGUGUUAGUCCAUUUACCAGUGUUGUAUACACAUACCCAGCCUUCUGCAUUUUUCAGUGUUAAUCAGAUGGAAAUAGCAAUUGGAGGUGCAAUUCAGUGUUGUGCUUAAGGUCAUUAAACCCUGUGGUAAUGGGUAAAUCCAGAGCCUGCUGUGGCCUUACCAGGCAAUUUGGCAAAGAAAUCAGUGCUAUUUUACUGAUACGAUGCGAGCCGGACAAUGACUGCAUCCCUGCUAAGGGACAAAGCCCCACUGUAUCAAUUUGCUGUAUUUUAACCUAUGUGGAACAUGUCCAAGGUGACGAGGAUCUAACCUGAGUGCCCCACAGCCUCUCCCCGUCUUGGGUGAGGAGUGUAUCCAGAACAGGCCUAGAGCUGCUCCUCAGUUAGUGCCAAGAGUGUUUGUCCUUCUGCUCUUCAGUUCAACAACCAUCUCAGGAGUAAAUUUCUGCUUUCAGUAAAAACUGCUUUUUUCACAGGAGCUUCAUUCAUGCAAGAUGAAUCCUGAGAUGAGAUAGAAAGUAAAGGAAGAUAUUCACUGUAAUAAUUAAUUAUAAAUCAAAAUAGAAAAAAAAAUUGUGAAGGUUUAGGCCUUAUCUGUAGUGAGUCUGAAAUCAGACUGAAGUUAGAAGGACACAAGAGGUAUGAGCCCCUUCAUGGGAGCUCAGUAAAGGCUGUAGUCUGUAGUCUGCAAAGUCUAAGACUAGGUGUCAGCUGUGAAUUUGGUAUUGAUUUAGCACCUCUUUUGCUUCUGGAUAAAAGUGACCAUUCUUUCUUCAAUGGUAAUUUAUUGCUCCUGUGGUAGAGAUGGAUUCUUUGUGGAGACAGAAGAUAGGGUAGAAUGUGGAGAGCAGAUUAAAAAGGCACUGGUGAAACAGAGUCCUCUGAAAAAGUGGAUGGAGGGGUUUUUACGUCUGAUAGCUAAAAAAACAUCAUGGCCCUAGGGCCUCCAAAUGUGUUUGAUUCUUUUGUGUGCAAUAAGGAAUUUGAGCUCUUUGAGCAUUUUGGGGAAGGUCAGGUGGUUAAUUUUGAAGUGUUUGCCACAGCUGUGUAAAUGUUAGAGAAUCCCAUGAGGCCUUGAACACAUAUUAUAAACUCAGGAGCUCUGAGGUGGGCAUUGUAAGAGGCAGGACUUUAUCACAAGAAAACUGCUGAUGGAAAGGGAGAGUCAUUUACAGAUGAUUCUGAGAUGGAAGGAAGGAGAGCAUAAACUGCCAUGCAAUUUGGAUCUUACAUGCCAUGGGAUAUUCAAGUAACAGAUAUCCUUUAGAAUCCACUGAAGAUUUAAGAUUAUUUUAAUAUUUCUCAUUCCUUGCUCAAGAGCUUUGUUAAGCAUGCCAAACAGUAGAAUAUUUUGGAAAUUUCAACAAAUGUUAUUGUUAACCCCAAAGUGCUUAAAAAUCAUGAAUUCAAUUUCAAAAAAAGCCUUAGAAAUUUAAAAUAAUAGAAACAAUACACGCAAUACAUGUUAGUGAUAAUGUGGCAUAUUUUCAAGCAGUCUCUGAUAUUAUUAAGAGUUAUAUACCUUGUCUUUUUAUUUUUAGACUUAAUAUAUUGUAUAUCCUCUAUUGUAACAGAAAAAGACUAAAUAACUGAGACUUGCAUAUAAUCUUAAUAUGGCAAUAUUGUCCAGAAGGCAGUAUUUUUCCUUCAAAUCUGGCAACCCAUCUUCACUCUUGUUUCCAUACUAAUUACUCAUCCACACUAUAGUGUGCUGAUUAAAGUCAGAAAACUAGAAUUUCCCGGUCCUAUUUCUACUCUUUUGCAUUACAAUACUGAAAUAUUGUAAUAUUCUGCUGCUCAUAAUCUUGAGGAUUUUUUAAAUGCUUUUCUUUUUUUUUUUUUUUUUGUGAUGAAAUCAGCAAAAAGAAAUUUUGAUACUCUCUGAUUAGAGAAGAAGGUGAUCAUAUUCAGUCUUGUGUAUGAUCAGUGGACUUGUCUGGGCAGUGUUAUAGUGUGAGAAUGGGCUAAACUGAAGAAUGUGGUAGAAGAUUUUAAAAUUAUUUUUGGGUUCAUGCAUAGGAAAACAAGAUUUAAAGCUUUGCAUUUCAAUGGACUUGCAAUUCUUCCUUUGCAAAUACAAGAUACAGCCCUGAAACUACUACAGGUCUUCAUCUGAAUAUUAGAUCACAUCCUGUUGAAAGAAACAUUCUCUCAAGAAUGUUGUUCAUUGGCUAAAUUUUCAUCAUCAUCAUCAAGGGCUCAGGUAAGAGUUCACGUGCUUUUGAACUCCUCAUAUUCAAGAAAUUGUUGCAUAGAAAUAUGGCAAUGCAUUGCAUUUUGUUUGCUGGAGACUCAGAUUCUGUCCCCCUUAUUGUCCUUCCAUAAUUACUUCACAGAGGAUCACCAAAAUAAAUAUGAGUAUUUACGGAGAGUUGGCUGUCUCCACUCAUAAGCAGGACAAUCAAGACACUAUUAUUUUCAUGAAAAUUCUUUUUUAUGCUUAAAAAGCUGCAUUAUAUUUACUUAAACCUUUUUUUUCCCCUCCUUUUUUCUUCCCUUGCAGUUGGAGCUAAGUGAAAAUUCUGUCUUCAGAAUCUCAAGUUUCAAAAGCAGCAUAACUCUGGAUUUUGGAUGGUCUGGCUUCCUUUUCCAGGGAUGUGUCAAGUCCAGUAUUUCAGUGUGAAACACUGAUGUGACAGACUGCCAUAAUGCAAUGUGUUUAACCACCUCAAUGAUGCGUCAAGUGAAAGGAGUUCCCAAAGAUUCAGUUCACACAUGCACACACACACAAAAAAAUGAGGGGUAAACAGAAUGGGAAGCGGAACAUAAAUCUUUUUCACAUAGUUUGGCACAAAUUCAAUUAUAAUUUGUAAAUGUUCAAUCAAUUAGACCACUCAGUUGUUUAACUUAUAACUUUGAAGGCAGAUUAUCUUUUCCAAGAGGAAAGCUUCUUUUAACCAAGACCUUUUAUGUUAACUGCUCCAGAAGGAAAAUGCUACAUGAAUAGGGAUUCAGGAGAAAAGUGUGUAAUACCAGGAUGUCUUUGGCUGAAUUUCAAGAUUUUCGUAGGAACAGGCUAACCUUUAAAGUGCCAAAUGACACACAAACACUCCCCAGCUCAGAAGAAAAAAGAAACCCAUGCUUUUUUGCCCCUUACACUAGAAAUAGUAAUCUAGUGUCUUUAUAAUGUGUAAUAUUUAUAGUGAUAAUUUAAUAUUAGUUGCAGGUACAUUUGGAAGUUGAAAAAAAUGCAUAAAAGCCCAUUACUUUGUCCUUAAUUUUUCAGAGUCUCACUUUAACACUGGUUUUACUCAUAGCCUCUUUAAGUUCAAAACCUGUCAAUUCCCAUAAAAAGUAUCGUAGUCUUCAUACAUUAUCAAUAGUUGCUUCUCAAACCUCGGGAAUUGCAGUUGCAUGGCUUAGCUGGCACCUGGGUGCCAUGGAGGGAAGACUUAUAAAUAUAGAGAUACAGAAAACGAAGAACAAGAAGGGAAGGAGAUCAAUACCAGGUGAUACACAACGUGCACUGUUGUGUUUUUUGAGUUCCAGCUUUGUCAUCAGGGCUGGAAGAACCCUUGUUAAACCUUUUUUCCUGCUGCAGGUGCAGAGAGCGGGAACACUGGUGGGUUUGGCAGUCCUGUGAUGGCACCAGAAGAAACACUGACACAGUGAAGCUGGAGGUCAACUGAUCAUGUUCAGAGACCCUGGUACCUGCUCAUUUCCUGAACAGGAAACUGUUGACUUUCAUCUCCUCACUACCGCAGGUAAUCAGGGUGACAUUACUGCCGGCACAAAAAUGACAUCUCGUCAUCAGAAAUUUUCUUCAUUGGCAUGGAAAAUGCCAGGCACAUCACCUCUGACUGUGUGGCCACCACAUCUAUUAACCUUAUUGAUUUGGAGUCACGCUGUGCCUCACUGGAAAACUACUCCCUGCUGAAAGACUCAAGUGGAUCAAUCCUGAACCGUGAACAAAAACUCAAUAACUAAAUGUGGUAGGCACCUUUCUCCAUUAAGUAUUCCUCAAAGUAAAUCACAUUAGAGAACAUCACUGUGAGUAACUUACCUUGGGAUUCCAUGAUCUCCCAGAAACUAACAGGGAAAAUAGCAAAAUAGGAAGGCAAAAGAUUGCAUAUUGCUAAACAUAUCUCUCAAUCUUGUUCUCAAAUGUCUAUCUUUCUAUCAUGAUAUUUUAAUUUUAUUCUACAACUCUGUCCCCCUUUCUAAACCUUAAAAAUUUUUCCUUGCUGUUUGUUUUUCAUUAUGUUUGUCCCUGGUAAGUCAUCUGAUGACAGAUGAUUAUGAAAAAGAAAGUUUUCUAUCCUUUAUGAACUCUUCAGCAUUUUCACGUAUUUAUCAGCAUUCAUUUUUGAGACCCUCAUUGUGACAGGGUUUGAAAAUGAAACAAGCCAUAUAAUUCCUUUCAGCCUCAUACAGUUAACAAAGAAGGCAACAAAAGGACUUCCAGAGCUUCAUAUUUCCUGGCAAAAGAUAGAGGACGGCAGCAAGCCCCAUUCAUAUUUAAAUGUUCCUGGCUUUGGAAUUAAAAGUCCAUCUUUCAUGUUACCAUUUCCGUUCCUCGCUUUUUGUUGGUGUUUGCUGGCUAUGAAAACUCUGUCCCAAACAUUAAUGUGACUCUUCAGUUCAGUCUGCAAAACUUCUAUUCUUAGAAAAUAUUCCUUGUCACAGACAACUGACAAUUUCUUAUACAGCACUUGCAAAUCAUUAUAGCUUAUAAUUAUCUUGCAAAACUGAUUUAGGACAAGAAAAGUGUGGGUGAAACCACUCUGUGCACAUGUGAGUAAUGACUGAUUAUAGCUGAAUAAGUUUUUUAAAGGGGCCAGAGGGACCCUUCUCAGAAAAAUUAUUUACAUGAGUAAGGGGUACAGGAUAGGAUCAUUUCUGUUGCUCAGUACUGCUACAACUUUGAUUUUGCUCAAGGGUCUGAUCUGAGAUCUUGACAGCUAAAACCUGCAAGCAAAGGGUUUAAUUUUGCAUUGGUUUUGGUGUUAAUGAACAGAGCAAAGUUCAUUAAAGAUACUCCUUGCACUAUGUUCAAUCCUGCCUGUCAUCUGUAUACAUAGUUGUAUUACAUAUUUUAAUAUUUUAUUUCAAAGAAAACUCUGGAUUCUGCAAAAAAGGGGAAAGAAAAUGCAAUGGCAUAUUAGAAAAUAUUAUCAGUUACUUGGGAAAAAGUGAUUUCUCAAAGCCAUGUAAAAGCCUGGAAAGUAUUCUUUUUAUUCCUUAGGAAAUAACCCUGGGUAUCUAAUUAAUAUCAUGAAAUUAAGGCCAUUUAUCUGAAAAACUGAAAAAAGAUCUAUAUAUGCACCAAAGUUCAGUGUUUGUCCCUGAGCUCUAACACAAGAUAUACUGUGUGAAAGUCUAACAUGGGAUACACCAUGUAUCAUCUCUAUUUAGAGCCCCUAGGCAGGAAGUAUGGAUAAAAAAAAUAAUCAAAAUUACUGUUUUUCUUUACUGAAAGCCCUCUAAGGAAUUCAUUGGAAUGAGUUCUGUCUGCCCAUCUAAUUGAUAAUUAUUUAAUUAGCAAUUUAUAAUGAUAAUGGGAUUUUACCCCCCACUAGUCCAUCUUGUCUGUAAGAAAAAUAUAAGUAGGCAACCUUAUGUAUUACUUUACCACUUUCGGCAGUUGGCACAAGAUAUUGUGGGCCAGCGUUGUGAUUUCCUACAGUUAAACCAUAAAAGCAAUGUAUUCAUAUAUUUCCUUUGCCCACAGUGUUUCCUUUUCUCAUUACCGUGGGUGACUGGCAUUCUCACAAUGUGUGUGGGUGCGCAGGCUUGUUGUGUCACCGUGGACAGUUCUAAGAGCAGCUUCAUUAGUUCUUUUUACAACAAAAGCUAGGGUUUUUUUCCUGCCUUCUCUUUCUUUCCCUUAGUUGGCAUGCGGGUUGAAUUCUUCUUGGACCCCCUGCUUGACUUUUUUUUUAGAGCUCCUUUUGAACAGUGCAGCAGUGUGAACACUAGGAAUUGUAACUGAUAGACUGUUUGCUGGAGAACUCAUGAAAGUUCUCUUUGUUCACUUCACAUCAACCAGGUUUAUGCAGACCCUCCCCCAUCUCAGGGAAAAGGAAAUCCACUUUUAAUUAUACAUUGAUGGGAAUCACUGUAUAGUGAAAUUGCAUCAAGUGGAGAAUGCCCACUUUAUUCUCUUUUAUCUAAGAAUCCAAAAGAAGCACUGGUGUAAAAAAAAAUGGAUAUGCAAGCAUAGACUUCCCAAUAUAGAGCCAGGCCUGCCUAAUUUAAAUCAAUCUGCCAACUCCACUUCCAGUCCUGAUUAAAAUUUUCAGCUGAAUCUUUGCACUGUGAGGGUGUCUUGUCUUUAGUCCUCGAGCCUGAAAGGUCUUCUUUUUGAGACCUUACUGAAAAAAAAUUCCAAAAACCAAUAUUCUUUAAUGUGAAAGGAAAGAGGUGUAAGCAUAAGAUAUUUUUUAAAUUUGAACUGAAUAUAGAUAUUUUUUCCCUUUUUUUUCCCUCAGACAAGCAUAUUGAAAUUGUGUAGAAGAAUCCUAAGGACAAAAAUAAAGGAGAUAUAGCUAGUGGCAGAAUGAAGAGAUUGCAUAACCUGGUGAGAAGUAUAAGUAAAUAAGAGAAGCACUUUGUGUCAUUUUAUGUUGUUGUGCCCAGUGAAAUGAAUGGAAAAAUUUUCAGCAGUACUUACAGGGACCUCUGAGAUUAUAAAUCAUUUGAGUAAUCUGCUAAUAAAUAUGUAAAGUUAAUUUUCUCUCUUUCUUAAAUUAAUAUCACAAGAUACCAUUAAUAGAGACAACGAAGCAGGAUAUUCAGCUGUACUGUGUAUACUAUCAAAGUUUACUAUGGUUAUGUUUGUCUUUUGAAUCUUCCAGUACAAAAAGGAAAUACCGGCAUUUUUCUCAGAUAUUUAGAAAAGAAAUAUUUUUGAAAUUGUUCUUGGAGAUCUUUUUUUUAUUCUUAAAUAACUUUAUCUUAGUUGUUCCAAUUCAUUUAUUUUAUACAAUUUAGUACCUGGUUUUUUUAUAUUUCCUGACAAAAAAAAGUUAACACCUGUAAAAGAAGUGUUGUGAAGACCAAAGAAAAAGCAGCCUGCCUAGAAACAUUGUAUGAUUCUGCCCAUAUAUGUUUAAGCAGACUCAUGUAAAGGGAGUUGGGUAAGACAAAAAUGUUCUCCAUGGAUAUUAGGAGGAAUUGGGGCCUGGCAAAUGAAAGAAGGUGAUGUUGCUAGAUCUUACCUCAAAAUCCUGAUUACCUUAAGGUCAAAGAUGUCGCUGUUGUGGCGGUCAUGACACCCAUGGACAGUGCCUCUUUCAAGGGCCAAAAACGCCGUUUAUUAAACAAAGCAGCCUCUUUUAUACACCUUUUGUAUGUUAUCAUUCAUGUUACAUAUUCAUUGGCUGCUAAACUACUACAAUAGACUCAUUGGCUGUUACUAACGACAACAUACUACCAUUGGCUACCUGUGGCAUAAGCAUUUAAACACUCAGAAAAAUAACAGGUGCAGAUAUGUUGCUGUUUUCUCCUUCUACUGUUUAACUUUCUUGCUUCUGUUGAUACUACAUUCUCAUGGGUAAAAACUAAUUGUUUUUCUUCUCACGGACUUUUCUCACAGUCCUUCCCUAGCCAAAGUAACAGGCCUGAGCCAUGAUUUUACAAAGGCAACAAGGCCUUCAUUUUAUAAGGUUUUGCUUAAAUGCCACACAAAGACAACAGUGCAAUUCUGUCUCGCAGCAGCACCACGAACGUGUUGAGCUGGACCCUUGUCUUAGGGAAACAAAUCUGUGCACUACAUCCAAGUAGUACGUAGGAAUACUCCAUCCAGUUUCCACCACCAGUACUGGAUACCCUCCUCUGCUGCAUGGUCAAGUCAAAAAUGAAUGACUAAUAAUUCUUUUGGCCCCAUUCAGACUUCUACUCCUCUACUGUCCCACAUUAUCCCAGAUUUUCUUCCAAGAACCUUCAAGUGUAACUUUAUUUCUCCCCCAGCAAAGGUCUGAACAAGAGAAAAGCAUGUGGAUAUAGCCAGGGGGGAUGAGGAGCUGGAUGAGGCAGAGAUUAAAAAUUACGUAGUCUUGAAGGAACUGACUUGGAACUAAUCCAUGACAAAUCUUCUAGUCUAGGAUAUCCAGUACAAAACAGCUGUGAGCCUGGUAAGUCUCCUCUGAACUUCAUUUCUUUACUCAUCUGCAGUUCUCUAAGUCAUCUACAGAUAUGUGUAGUGACAGAGAAGUUCUAAAAUGACCAGGAGUUUUCCACAGCAAUUUUUAUUUAUUUGUUGGGGCCAUGAGUUUCCAAUUUGAACAUAAGGCUGGGCCCAAGUCUGUAAGAUUACAUGAGUCUCUCCAUCAGGGGUCUGCUAUGCCGCAAUGGGAACACCAUAAUUUUCCAAAUGGUCAUAGUUUCAAAGAACAAGGAAAACAGGAGACAUUUAAGAGCUAAAUACUAAAUAUUUUGGAUAUUUUUUGACAAAACAAAGCACUUUGUGAUGUUAUACCACAUAAGGCGACUUGAAAAGGUUCAUUAAUCCUCAGGAAAGAAAGGAAAGACUUUUAAAACACAAACCUCAGUCACAUCCCAGGACUAAAUCUAUUAUUCAGAAUAGGAAGCAAGUCAGCUUCCAGCCAAAUGAGAUUUCACUGCAGCCAACCAUUAAAAGACACAGAAGCAUGGAAAUUGAGGCCAAAGUAGCUGGGGAGACUGAUCCAUGCAAAGGAGCCUCAAGAAAAAGACUACAGUGGAACAACUGAUGCACAGCAGGAAUUGCCUGGAAGUGGUGCCUCUCUGCCUGCUGUGAAGGAAUCAUCCAGAGAGAAAAAGAUGGGAAUGGAACUGACUUGGGAAAGGCUGAAGGCAGGAGCCUGAGAAUCAAAAAGGUAGCUUAGAAAUAUGGUAAAAAGUAAACCUUAGGUUUGAUUGUUCUGGUUUGCUUCCUUUUUACAUCCAUACUGGAGGUUAUUUAAGAGUCCUCAAAGACCAGUCGAAGGUUUGCUGCUGAGAAUAAAGCCACUGAGAUGGGUAAUGUUCUUACAAUAAAAGAGUCAAAAAAAAGUGGGAACAUUUUCUUGUCAUGACUUCGUUGUCUGGAUUCUCUACAGCUCUCCUAGAAUAGACCAGGGCCACUCCUGCUUUCAGUGAAGUUGCUCAUUCAUUUACUCCCUCAUUCAGUUUAGAAUCAGGACAUUUUUUCUUUAAAGUUCAGAAAAAUGUAGUUCAGCAAGUUUCCUUCUGUGGAGAACUUAGGAUCACUCUUUAAGAGAAAAGCCCUUGAGACAGACGUGCUUUAGUUGGAGUUCUGCUGAACUGAAUUUGCACAUUAAGUACUGUACCUUGCUCUUGCUUGCUGAAGCAUCCCUUAACACUACAUGUGUGUAUAAAUAAAGGAAAAUGGGAUACAACCUCA
This is a long non-coding RNA of Corvus hawaiiensis (hawaiian crow), 16138 nucleotides long. RefSeq lists it as uncharacterized. NCBI's taxonomy places the organism in Eukaryota, Metazoa, Chordata, Aves, Passeriformes, Corvidae. The record is from RefSeq and is a predicted model, not a curated record. The transcript is spliced from 3 exons.